AAUUUCUGGACAACUAUUAAUUU
RNAcentral lists this small nuclear RNA (23 nucleotides) under Arabidopsis thaliana (thale cress). RNAcentral's name for it is "snRNA_14393". Lineage: Eukaryota; Viridiplantae; Streptophyta; Magnoliopsida; Brassicales; Brassicaceae. The record is from RNAcentral.